Molecule: ribosomal RNA, 497 nt
Filed under: uncultured bacterium
Lineage: Bacteria
Description: partial 16S ribosomal RNA
Rfam family: Bacterial small subunit ribosomal RNA
Source: RNAcentral
GAUGAACGCUGGCGGCGUGCCUAAUACAUGCAAGUCGAGCGAACGGACGAGAAGCUUGCUUCUAUGAUGUUAGCGGCGGACGGGUGAGUAACACGUGGACAACCUACCUAUAAGACUGGGAUAACUUCGGGAAACCGGAGCUAAUACCGGAUAAUAUUUUGAACCGCAUGGUUCAAAGGUGAAAGACGGUCUUGCUGUCACUUAUAGCUGGAUCCGCCCUGCAUUAGUUAGUUGGUAAGGUAACGGCUUACCAAGGCAACGAUGCAUAGCCGACCGGAGGGGGUGAUCGGCCACACGGGAACGGAGCCCCGGUCCAACCUCCUACGGGAGGCAGCAGUAGGGAAUCUUCCGCAAUGGGCGAAGGCCGGACGGAGCAACGCGGCGGAAGUGAUGAAGGUCUUCGGAUCGUAAAACUCUGUUAUUAGGGAGGAACAUAUGUGUAAGUAACUGUGCACAUCUUGACGGUACCUAAUCAGAAAGCCACGGCUAACUACGUG